CGUAACAAGGUCUCCGUAGGUGAACCUGCGGAGGGAUCAUUACCGAGUACCGGGCGCAAGCCCGUACCCACACCCUGUGUCGACGCUCUACGUUGCUUCGGCGGGACGCGGUUCUGCCGCCCCCGGCUCCGGCCGGGGCGCGCCCGCCGAAGGACCCCCCAAACGCAUGGCAAACCAGUCUGUCCGAGGAUACAUGAAUUAGUCAAAACUUUUAACAACGGAUCUCUUGGUUCGGGCAUCGAUGAAGAACGCAGCGAAAUGCGAUAAGUAAUGUGAAUUGCAGAAUUCCGUGAAUCAUCGAAUCUUUGAACGCACAUUGCGCCCGGUGGUAUUCCGCCGGGCACGCCUGUCCGAGCGUCAUUGCAACAAUCACGCCCCGCGUGGUGUUGGGGGCCGUCGCGUUCGCGCGACCCCCCCGGAACUCGUUGGCGGUGGCCUCUCGCCCCGAUCGUCGCGCAUGUUACGACGGGAAGGGAGGACGCUUUGCCGAACCACCAAUUACGCUACGUUUGACCUCGGAUCAGGCGGGGAUACCCGCUGAACUUAAGCAUAUCAA
RNAcentral lists this small RNA (556 nucleotides) under Eremomyces bilateralis. Its description in RNAcentral is "eukaryotic LSU rRNA". The stretch from base 207 to 360 matches the Rfam family "5.8S ribosomal RNA". The record is from RNAcentral. Lineage: Eukaryota; Fungi; Ascomycota; Dothideomycetes; Eremomycetales; Eremomycetaceae.